Molecule: ribosomal RNA, 468 nt
Filed under: uncultured bacterium
Lineage: Bacteria
Description: partial 16S ribosomal RNA
Rfam family: Bacterial small subunit ribosomal RNA
Source: RNAcentral
GACGAACGCUGGCGGCGUGCUUAACACAUGCAAGUCGAACGGAAAGGCCCUGCUUUUGUGGGGUGCUCGAGUGGCGAACGGGUGAGUAACACGUGAGUAACCUGCCCUUGACUUUGGGAUAACUUCAGGAAACUGGGGCUAAUACCGGAUAGGAGCUCCUGCUGCAUGGUGGGGGUUGGAAAGUUUCGGCGGUUGGGGCUGGACUCGCGGCUUAUCAGCUUGUUGGUGGGGUAGUGGCUUACCAAGGCUUUGACGGGUAGCCGGCCUGAGAGGGUGACCGGCCACAUGGGUCCUGAGAUACGGCCCAGACGCCUACGGGAGGCAGCAGUGGGGAAUAUUGCACAAUGGGGGGAAGCCUGAUGCAGCAACGCCGCGUGCGGGAUGACGGCCUUCGGGUUGUAAACCGCUUUCGCCUGUGACGAAGCGUGAGUGACGGUAAUGGGUAAAGAAGCACCGGCUAACUACGUG